GGAGUUUGAGUCGGUGGAGCUUAUCGGCGAUGACGGAGUGGGAGAAUUUGGGGCCGACGGCGGUCUGAAGGCGGUCGAAGGCCUGAGAAUCGAGAGUGGGGAGAGAAUUCUUGGUGGGGUUUUCGGAUCUGGAGAUUUGGAGGGUUUCGGGAGAGGCGCUGGACGGCGGUGACCGGUGGAGCGUUGACAUGAUGGGAAUUUGGACGAUAUAGAUCGGAGUUUCGGUGGGGGUUUGGUUUUGGCGAGAGUGUCAAUGACUGGUAAAGGUUUCUUUAGUCAUAAAUUUGGUGAGCCGGUCAAUGUUAUGGCCAACAAAAUUUCCCGCUCCAAUCCCCUUUUUAUUUUUGUUUAUCAUUUUAAUAAAUACGAGGGGAGAGAAUCAAAAGUUAUUAUACCCAAACAAUUUUAUAACUUGAAUGAUAAGAAGCAAAAGAGUUUUUAAAUCUUGCAAGUUUAAAAUUUCAAAUUUCUGGUUCAUGGUAAGUAGAUAAAUUAUAUCAUUUAUGUUUUCUUUCAGUAAUCAGAUUCACAAAUUCCUUACCCAGCCUAUUUUUAUUUCUAUAUUUUCUUUUAGUUUAUAUACUUUUAAACAUUCUUUUCUAUUUAAAUCUUUUUUUUCAAUUCAAAUUAAUUAAAUAAUAAUAAUAGUAAUUUUGUUGCAUCUUUCAAAAUUCUUUCUAAAACUAAAGUAUGUUUCAAAAUUUAUAGAAACUUAUUCAUUUACCAUUCUUUCAAACAAAGAGUGAACAAUUAGGAUGUACUAAAGUGAGUAUUUUAAGAAAAUUCAUAGAUAAAAGUGUAAAUAUUGGUUUCAACAAAUUUCAAUGAACGAGAAAGUAACGGUUUAAAAGAAGUAAUAUAUUUUUACUUUUUGGGUCUUUUUUUUGUAUAGUUUAAAAUAACACAGUAGAGAGAAAAUUGAUUAAAAUAAUUUGUCUUUCCUCCUAAAAGAACCUCUUUCCCAUUGUUUUUUUGGUCUAAUGAAAUUUAUUGAGAAAAAAAUAAAUUGGAUAUUGGUGGAAUUUAUUUUUUUUGGAUUGUGCACUCUAUCAUGUUCUUCUUCUUCUUCUUCUUCUUCUUCAAUACGAACUUUAAUGAAAAUUGAUCCAAUCGAACCGAACCAAAUCAAACCAAUCCGGUUCGCUUUUUUACACCAGUAUUUACAAUUUAAUUUCCAGCCGGGGCUUGGAAUGGUUUAGGGCUGAACCCCUUGGAUCAACAAUUUCCGUAUCAGGUCCCAUUGUUCUCUCUUUGAAGAACCUCCUCUUCACUUCAUUCGCUUAUUCCUCUCAUCCCCAAAUUCCUUCGUUCACUCAUAGAAAACUUGAUGACACGGCGUCGGAAUUUGAUUGUUGCCGUUGGGCUGAUAGCCUUUGCAUCUGCUGGAUUAGCAUUUCCCUUUUACAUGGCGUCUUCGAAAAAACCAGUUAUAGAUCCGACAAAGCCGCUUUCGCCGCAGGCCACUUUUCGAGGUCCUUAUAUUAACACUGGCUCCCGAGACGUUGGACCCGACCAUCAAACUUACACCAAGAAGUGAUUUCUUUUGAAUCGUGCUUGGUUUUGCAAAUCUAUCUGUUGGUUUAUUUCAAUGUAGAAGAAGACUACGUGAAUUUUUCUUCUUCUCUCUUAUGGAGAAACAGUUGAGUAGUUCACUUGAUUUACAAAUCAAAUCUUUGUAGAUUAAAAUAUUGAUGUCUUAUAAAGGCAUUGGGGUUUUAAUUUCAUGGAUAUAUAUCAACAAACUUAUGGAUAUUUAUGUAAA
Cucumis sativus (cucumber) is the source of this 1762-nucleotide RNA transcript. RefSeq lists it as uncharacterized. The transcript has 4 exons. NCBI's taxonomy places the organism in Eukaryota, Viridiplantae, Streptophyta, Magnoliopsida, Cucurbitales, Cucurbitaceae. The record is from RefSeq and is a predicted model, not a curated record.